CUUAAGGUAGCCAAAUGCCUC
Molecule: non-coding RNA, 21 nt
Filed under: Arabidopsis thaliana (thale cress)
Lineage: Eukaryota; Viridiplantae; Streptophyta; Magnoliopsida; Brassicales; Brassicaceae
Source: RNAcentral